GCUCCGAGCACCACCAUGCGGGACGAGGAGCCCCCCCUGCCGCCCCCCUCGCCCGGCGCCGCGCGCUCCGCGCCCUCGCGCCUCCGCCGCACUCUACACACGCUACGAACGCCGUUCCGGCCUGGUUCGCCCUUCCACAUCGGCUUGAUCAAGCGCACAGGCUCCUCCAAAUCCGUUGCCUCAGACGGUGAGAUCGGCCGCGACGAACGCACGAUGCGUAAGCGAAACAAGAAAAACCGUGACGCGGUCAGCGACGCGUCGCGUAGCACCGACAGCUCGCCCGGCGUCGACAAGAAGAAGAAGGAGGGGAGCACGUUUAUGCGCAGGAUGGGCAGUUUCGGCAAGAAGCGCGCAGGCGAGUCCCCACAACCACCCUCAGAAACUCAACCAUCUACCUCGGAAAAAUCGGAACCACCCGUAGAACACCCGCUUUCGCAACCCUCCGAGCCGGAGCAGCCAACCCCCGAACCAGUGCAGCCUACCCCUGAGCCAGUGCAGCCUACUCCUGAGCCCGUGCAGUCUACUCCUGAACCUGAGCAGCCCACCCCUGAGCCAGUGCAGUCUACCCCUGAACCUGUGAAGCCUACCCCCGAACCUGAGCAGCCUAAUCCCGAACCUGUAAGUCCUAUAGCGGUAGAGCACCCUGUUGCAAUCCGCCCUUUCAGUAAAGCCGCUUGGAAGCGCAACAGUGAGCCUGAAAUGGAGAAGCCUGUGGAGGACCCCAGCCCGGAGAGUGCACUGCGGCGGCGCAUUGCAUUCGUAGCGCAGGCGUCGGCGUACCUGUCGGAGGAGCACGAGGACGGGGAGAGGGGGGGCGCGGAGGUGGGGUCGCUGGAAGAGGCGGUGGCGCUAGCGCGCGUGCGGCUGGCCGUGCCCGCGCCGCCCUCGCCGGCACUGUCGCGCGACACCGACACGGAAGAGGAGGGGUACUCGGACGCCAUGCCCGCGUACGGAGACCUCAUCGAGCCCGACGGCAGCGCCGGCAGCGACGGCGCAGCGUCCCACGCAUCCCCGAGCGCUGAGCGUCGGGAACAUCUAUACAAGAUCCUGGUGAUAGGAGAACUGGGAACUGGGAAGACGUCCAUCAUCAAGCGAUAUGUGCACCAAUUCUUCAGCCAGCAUUACAGAGCAACCAUCGGUGUGGACUUCGCGUUGAAAGUAUUGAACUGGGACGCGAAUACUAUCAUUCGUUUGCAGCUAUGGGAUAUUGCGGGUCAAGAGCGCUUCGGCAACAUGACCCGCGUAUACUACAAGGAGGCUGUGGGAGCGUUCAUAGUGUUCGAUGUGUCCAGGGUUGCGACGUUCGAUGCCGUGGUCAAGUGGAAGAACGACCUCGACGCUAAGGUCCAGCUGCCCGAUGGAUCACCCAUACCUUGUAUAUUGCUGGCAAAUAAAUGCGACCAACAAAAGGAAGGCAUAGUGAACUCUCAAGCCAAAAUGGAGGAGUACUGUCGCGAAAAGGGCUUCGCUGGUUGGUUCGAGACGUCCGCCAAAGAAAACAUCAACAUUGAGGAGGCGGCCAGGUCACUAGUUAAUAAGGUCCUGAACCAGGCCCAGGGGGGGGUCAUGACCUUGUGACCUACCCCCUGGAUCCGCCGUUGAGACAACCAGAAUUACCACAGUUUUGCUUUACAUUACCGAUCCUAUUAAACGACAAACUACUCCAGAGCAACGACAACAGGGAUGGUGACAAGUUCGCGCUUGACCACAAGAUCGCUAACGGCGAGAACAGUCGGGAUGGAACCACAAAGUCAUGCUCAUGCUGACCAUUCACCGACCGC
RNAcentral lists this unclassified non-coding RNA (1781 nucleotides) under Helicoverpa zea (corn earworm). Its description in RNAcentral is "ras-related protein Rab-32, transcript variant X7". The record is from RNAcentral. Lineage: Eukaryota; Metazoa; Arthropoda; Insecta; Lepidoptera; Noctuidae.